UGCAGCAAGAAAACACUUUUGAUAAUUUGCAAUUUAAAUUUAAAUUUAAUAAUUUUAGUGUGUGGCUUAUAAUUGUAUGGUUGUUGUACAUAUGUGCAGGUCUAUUUUCAAUCGUCUUUUUGUGUUGUAAAGCUCAUUUAUACAUUUGUUUGGGAAGAAUUUUAAUCUUGUACUUAUUCUAUUUUUUCCUAACAAUUUGACUGUGAAGGAAAAUUCCUUACAAGCCACUGCUAUAAGGAUAUAUUGGACUGCACAUAAAGAAAGCUGGAACCAUUCGCCUCCAGAGUCUUCUCUCACGGUUAUUUAGAUUGUUGGGCAAGGACAAUUGUUUAUUCACUACAUUGGAAAGGUGAUGAGAUCAAUUGGUGCUGAAUUUUAACCCGCUUUGUUUGUUCUACCUGGACCAUUUUAAUAAUAGCAAUUUUAUGAUGAAAAUAUUAUCCAAAUUGAUUUGUAACGGGUUGGAUAAAGAGUCUUGCAAUGAAUGGACAUAAUGUGACAUAUUGAUCACACCAUUGCACAAACUUCUGGAUACCGCAUUUUGAGCGACUUUAGUUGAAAAAAUUCUUUUUCGCAUCGGAAUGUAGCUGUAUCUGAAGGAAGCCAGAAUGUUGUCUGCAGUAGUAUCCCUCCAGGAUUUGGCUUCUUUAUCACACUUGUAGACUACAGAACGCUAGCUUCUGUAUUUAAUUAAGAUUGUUCAGCAGAUGAGCAAGAAUUAAAGUUGAGUUUGUUCAUACUGAAACAACCAAUAUCUACAUGGGUGUCGUCUUUCUUGGAUUAUAUUAGUGAUUUGCUGUUUUCCUCUUCACCUUGCAACAUAAUGUAGUUAACUUUCGAUCGAUGAGGGAGACCAACUGGAGAUUUAUUUGAAUUCUACUGAAGCAACAAAUUUUCUGAUAUGGUAUUCCUCAUGGAUUUGGUUUACUUUUCACACUUGUGAACACUGGAAUGUUACAGGCUAUAGUUAAUUAAGAUCGACAGUGGAGAAGACAAAGAAGAUCCCGUAGUUAAAAUUGUUCUUUAUUUUGUAUGCUCUAUCUAAUAGAAUCAAUUCUUUAAGUUCAUUUUAUUAUAAUCAAUUUUUUAUCUUGCAUGUGUUAUAUAGUUUAUUUAAU
Molecule: long non-coding RNA, 1118 nt
Filed under: Agrilus planipennis (emerald ash borer)
Lineage: Eukaryota; Metazoa; Arthropoda; Insecta; Coleoptera; Buprestidae
Description: uncharacterized LOC108734084, transcript variant X2
Source: RNAcentral